RNAcentral lists this ribosomal RNA (431 nucleotides) under uncultured bacterium. RNAcentral describes it as "partial 16S ribosomal RNA". It matches the Rfam family "Bacterial small subunit ribosomal RNA", at positions 29 to 507 of the family's 1533-position model. The record is from RNAcentral.
AACGAACGCUGGCGGCAGGCUUAACACAUGCAAGUCGAGCGCCCCGCAAGGGGAGCGGCAGACGGGUGAGUACCGCGUGGGAACGUACCUUUUGGUUCGGAACAACUCCGGGAAACUGGAGCUAAUACCGGAUAAGCCCUAACGGGGAAAGAUUUAUCGCCGAAAGAUCGGCCCGCGUCUGAUUAGCUAGUUGGUGAGGUAACGGCUCACCAAGGCGACGAUCAGUAGCUGGUCUGAGAGGAUGAUCAGCCACACUGGGACUGAGACACGGCCCAGACUCCUACGGGAGGCAGCAGUGGGGAAUAUUGGACAAUGGGCGCAAGACUGAUCCAGCCAUGCCGCGUGAGUGAUGAAGGCCUUAGGGUUGUAAAGCUCUUUUGUCCGGGAAGAUAAUGACUGUACCGGAAGAAUAAGCCCCGGCUAACUUCGUG